RNAcentral lists this ribosomal RNA (763 nucleotides) under uncultured Streptococcus sp. RNAcentral describes it as "bacterial SSU rRNA". It matches the Rfam family "Bacterial small subunit ribosomal RNA", at positions 28 to 776 of the family's 1533-position model. The record is from RNAcentral. Lineage: Bacteria; Bacillati; Bacillota; Bacilli; Lactobacillales; Streptococcaceae.
GACGAACGCUGGCGGCGUGCCUAAUACAUGCAAGUAGAACGCUGAAGGAGGAGCUUGCUUUUCUGGAUGAGUUGCGAACGGGUGAGUAACGCGUAGGUAACCUGCCUGGUAGCGGGGGAUAACUAUUGGAAACGAUAGCUAAUACCGCAUAAGAGUAGAUGUCGCAUGACAUUUGCUUAAAAGGUGCAAUUGCAUCACUACCAGAUGGACCUGCGUUGUAUUAGCUAGUUGGUGAGGUAACGGCUCACCAAGGCAACGAUACAUAGCCGACCUGAGAGGGUGAUCGGCCACACUGGGACUGAGACACGGCCCAGACUCCUACGGGAGGCAGCAGUAGGGAAUCUUCGGCAAUGGACGGAAGUCUGACCGAGCAACGCCGCGUGAGUGAAGAAGGUUUUCGGAUCGUAAAGCUCUGUUGUAAGAGAAGAACGAGUGUGAGAGUGGAAAGUUCACACUGUGACGGUAUCUUACCAGAAAGGGACGGCUAACUACGUGCCAGCAGCCGCGGUAAUACGUAGGUCCCGAGCGUUGUCCGGAUUUAUUGGGCGUAAAGCGAGCGCAGGCGGUUAGAUAAGUCUGAAGUUAAAGGCUGUGGCUUAACCAUAGUACGCUUUGGAAACUAUUUAACUUGAGUGCAAGGGGGGAGAGUGGAAUUCCAUGUGUAGCGGUGAAAUGCGUAGAUAUAUGGAGGAACACCGGUGGCGAAAGCGGCUCUCUGGCUUGUAACUGACGCUGAGGCUCGAAAGCGUGGGGAGCAAACAGG